GGAAGGGUGGCGGAGCGGUUGAACGCACCGGUCUUGAAAACCGGCAUCCCCGCAAGGGGAUCGUGGGUUCGAAUCCCACCCCUUCCGCCA
Molecule: transfer RNA, 90 nt
Filed under: Burkholderiales bacterium
Lineage: Bacteria; Pseudomonadati; Pseudomonadota; Betaproteobacteria; Burkholderiales
Also listed under: 1 other name
Description: tRNA-Ser
Rfam family: tRNA
About the family: Transfer RNA (tRNA) molecules are approximately 80 nucleotides in length. Their secondary structure includes four short double-helical elements and three loops (D, anti-codon, and T loops). Further hydrogen bonds mediate the characteristic L-shaped molecular structure. tRNAs have two regions of fundamental functional importance: the anti-codon, which is responsible for specific mRNA codon recognition, and the 3' end, to which the tRNAs corresponding amino acid is attached (by aminoacyl-tRNA synthetases). tRNAs cope with the degeneracy of the genetic code in two manners: having more than one tRNA (with a specific anti-codon) for a particular amino acid; and 'wobble' base-pairing, i.e. permitting non-standard base-pairing at the 3rd anti-codon position.
Source: RNAcentral